AUUGAACGCUGGCGGCAUGCUUUACACAUGCAAGUCGAACGGUAACAGGCCUUCUGGGGCUGACGAGUGGCUAACGGGCGAGUAAUGCAUCGGAACGUGCCCAGCGGUGGGGGUUAACGCAGCGAAAGCUGUGCUAAUAUCGCAUGUGAUCUGAGGAUGAAAGCGGGGGACCAGGCAGGAAAGUUUGGCCUCGCGCCGUUGGAGCGGCCGCUGUCAGGUUAGUUGGUUGGUGGGGUGAAGACCUACCAAGCCGGCGAUCGGUUGCUGGUGUGAGAGGACGGUCAGCCGCAUGAGGGGUGGACCACGGCCAAGGCUCCUGCGGGAGGCACCAGAGUGGUAUUUUGGACAGUGGGGGCAAGCAUUAUCCAGCAAUGCCGCGUGCGAGAAGACGGCCUUCCGGUUGUAAACCGCUUUUGUACGGAGCGAAAAGGCUCUGGCUAAUACCUGGGGCUGAUGACGGUACCGUAAGAAUAAGCACCGGCUAACUACGUG
Molecule: ribosomal RNA, 492 nt
Filed under: uncultured bacterium
Lineage: Bacteria
Description: partial 16S ribosomal RNA
Rfam family: Bacterial small subunit ribosomal RNA
Source: RNAcentral